GCAAGUCGACUUGAAGCUUACUUUAGGUGGCGAACGGGUGAGUAACGCGUAGAUAAUCUGCCCUUUAGUAUGGGAUAAGCUUUGGAAACGAAGUCUAAUACCGGAUGGUAUCUUAGGAGUUCCUGCUCCUUAGAUUAAAGAUCACGAAUUGCUAAAGGAUGAAUCUGCGUGAUAUUAGUUAGUUGGUGAGGUAACGGCUCACCAAGGCGACGAUAUCUAGCUGGUCUGAGAGGAUGAUC
This 239-nucleotide ribosomal RNA is filed under the name uncultured bacterium. Its description in RNAcentral is "partial 16S ribosomal RNA". It matches the Rfam family "Bacterial small subunit ribosomal RNA", at positions 57 to 305 of the family's 1533-position model. The record is from RNAcentral.